This 253-nucleotide ribosomal RNA is filed under the name uncultured bacterium. RNAcentral describes it as "partial 16S ribosomal RNA". It matches the Rfam family "Bacterial small subunit ribosomal RNA", at positions 524 to 776 of the family's 1533-position model. The record is from RNAcentral.
UACAGAGGGUGCAAGCGUUAAUCGGAGUUACUGGGCGUAAAGGGCGCGUAGGCGGUUAUAUAAGUGAGUUGUGAAAGCCCUGGGCUUAACCUAGGAACUGCAACUUAUACUGUAUAGCUAGAGUAUUGUAGAGGGUAGUGGAAUUUCCGGUGUAGCGGUGAAAUGCGUAGAGAUCGGAAGGAACACCAGUGGCGAAGGCGGCUACCUGGACAAAUACUGACGCUGAGGCGCGAAAGCGUGGGGAGCAAACAGG